AUGGGCGAAAGCUGAUGCAGCGACGCCGCGUGAGUGAGGAAGUAUUUCGGUAUGUAAAGCUCUAUCAGCAGGGAAGAAAGAAAUGACGGUACCUGAGUAAGAAGCUCCGGCUAAAUACGUGCCAGCAGCCGCGGUAAUACGUAUGGAGCAAGCGUUAUCCGGAUUUACUGGGUGUAAAGGGAGCGUAGGCGGCAGAGCAAGUCUGAUGUGAAAGCCCGGGGCUCAACCCCGGUAGUGCAUUGGAAACUGUUCAGCUCGAGUGUCGGAGGGGUAAGCGGAAUUCCUGGUGUAGCGGUGAAAUGCGUAGAUAUCAGGAAGAACACCGGAGGCGAAGGCGGCUUACUGGACGAUUACUGACGCUGAGGCUCGAAAGCGUGGGGAGCGAACAGGAUUAGAUACCCUGGUAGUCCACGCUGUAAACGAUGAAUACUAGGUGUCGGUACCCGAAGGGUAUCGGUGCCGUCGCAAACGCAUUAAGUAUUCCACCUGGGGAGUACGUUCGCAAGAAUGAAACUCAAAGGAAUUGACGGGGACCCGCACAAGCGGUGGAGCAUGUGGUUUAAUUCGAAGC
RNAcentral lists this ribosomal RNA (571 nucleotides) under Shuttleworthella satelles. RNAcentral describes it as "bacterial SSU rRNA". It matches the Rfam family "Bacterial small subunit ribosomal RNA", at positions 371 to 957 of the family's 1533-position model. Lineage: Bacteria; Bacillati; Bacillota; Clostridia; Lachnospirales; Lachnospiraceae. The record is from RNAcentral.